This 216-nucleotide unclassified non-coding RNA is filed under the name uncultured fungus. RNAcentral describes it as "sequence contains ITS1". Lineage: Eukaryota; Fungi. The record is from RNAcentral.
UUAAGAAUUUGCUUAUGUUCAGACAGGCACACACAACAAGAGUUGGGUUAUGAUCUUACCGCAGGUUCUCCGACCGCGUUGGCAGUCGGGCGACAUAAAGUCGCUGCCCUACGGAAGCAACAAGGAAAGUUCACAGUGGUUUGAAAGUGUACCCUUUACCGUUUCCGGCUUGGGGUCAAUCUUUUAAUGAUCCUUCCGCAGGUUCACCUACGGAAA